GGGGGCAUAGCUCAGGGGUAGAGCAUUUGCCUGCAGAUCAAGAGGUCCCCGGUUCAAAUCCGGAUGCCCCCU
This 72-nucleotide transfer RNA is filed under the name Heterocephalus glaber (naked mole-rat). Its description in RNAcentral is "tRNA-Cys (GCA) (tRNA-Cys-GCA-13-1)". It matches the Rfam family "tRNA". From Rfam's summary of the family: Transfer RNA (tRNA) molecules are approximately 80 nucleotides in length. Their secondary structure includes four short double-helical elements and three loops (D, anti-codon, and T loops). Further hydrogen bonds mediate the characteristic L-shaped molecular structure. tRNAs have two regions of fundamental functional importance: the anti-codon, which is responsible for specific mRNA codon recognition, and the 3' end, to which the tRNAs corresponding amino acid is attached (by aminoacyl-tRNA synthetases). tRNAs cope with the degeneracy of the genetic code in two manners: having more than one tRNA (with a specific anti-codon) for a particular amino acid; and 'wobble' base-pairing, i.e. permitting non-standard base-pairing at the 3rd anti-codon position. Lineage: Eukaryota; Metazoa; Chordata; Mammalia; Rodentia; Bathyergidae. The record is from RNAcentral.